CCAGACUCCUACGGGAGGCAGCGGUGAGGAAUAUUGGUCAAUGGGCGCGAGCCUGAACCAGCCAAGUCGCGUGAGGGAGGACGGCCCUACGGGUUGUAAACCUCUUUUGCCGGGGAGCAACGGGCGUCACGUGUGGCGCCACUGAGAGUACCCGGAGAAACAGCAUCGGCUACCUCCGUGCCAGCAGCCGCGGUACUACGGAGGAUGCGAGCGUUAUCCGGAUUUAUUGGGUUUAAAGGGAGCGUAGAUGGGUUGUUAAGUCAGUGGUGAAAGUUUGCGGCUCAACCGUAAAAUUGCAAUUGAUACUGGCAGUCUUGAGUACAGAUGAGGUAGGCGGAAUUCGUGGGGAAGCGGUGAAAUGCUUAGAUAUCACGAAGAACUCCGAUUGCGAAGGCGGCUGACUAAACUGCCACUGACAUUGAUGCUCGAAAGUGUGGGUAUCAAACAGGAUUAGAUACCCCAGUAC
Molecule: ribosomal RNA, 466 nt
Filed under: uncultured bacterium
Lineage: Bacteria
Description: bacterial SSU rRNA
Rfam family: Bacterial small subunit ribosomal RNA
Source: RNAcentral